UUGUGCUUGAUCUAACCAUGCAGUGCGUCCUGUGUCCAUGGUUGUGCCAAGCACCUUG
This 58-nucleotide microRNA precursor is filed under the name Tetraodon nigroviridis (spotted green pufferfish). RNAcentral's name for it is "Tni-Mir-218-P3_pre stem-loop". Lineage: Eukaryota; Metazoa; Chordata; Actinopteri; Tetraodontiformes; Tetraodontidae. The record is from RNAcentral.